GACGAACGCUGGCGGCGUGCCUAAUACAUGCAAGUAGAACGCACAGUUUAUACCGUAGCUUGCUACACCAUAAACUGUGAGUUGCGAACGGGUGAGUAACGCGUAGGUAACCUGCCUGGUAGCGGGGGAUAACUAUUGGAAACGAUAGCUAAUACCGCAUAAUAUUGAUUAUUGCAUGAUAAUUGAUUGAAAGAUGCUAUUGCAUCACUACCAGAUGGACCUGCGUUGUAUUAGCUAGUAGGUGAGGUAACGGCUCACCUAGGCGACGAUACAUAGCCGACCUGAGAGGGUGAUCGGCCAAACUGGGACUGAGACACGGCCCAGACUCCUACGGGAGGCAGCAGUAGGGAAUCUUCGGAAAGGGACGAAAGUCUGAACGAGCAACGCCGCGUGAGGGAAGAAGGUUGUCGGAUCGUAAAGCUCUGUUGUAAGAGAAGAACGGGUGUGAGAGUGGAAAGUUCACACUGUGACGGUAGCUUACCAGAAAGGGACGGCUAACUACGUG
Molecule: ribosomal RNA, 505 nt
Filed under: uncultured bacterium
Lineage: Bacteria
Description: partial 16S ribosomal RNA
Rfam family: Bacterial small subunit ribosomal RNA
Source: RNAcentral